RNAcentral lists this long non-coding RNA (642 nucleotides) under Lactuca sativa (garden lettuce). RNAcentral describes it as "long non-coding RNA (LSAT_LNC007077)". The record is from RNAcentral. Lineage: Eukaryota; Viridiplantae; Streptophyta; Magnoliopsida; Asterales; Asteraceae.
CUCCAUGUUGUACGUAUUAGCAUUGUUAGUUGUACUUCCACUAUACUUUGUCUCACCAAACCCUUGCUUCUCCGAGUUGUACAUAUCCUCACUUCCCUGCUCCUGGGAGUUGUACAUAUUGCCGCCGUCUUCCGUCUCCACAAACCUAGUAUCAUCAAACUGAGGCUUCACUGACUUGUACCCAUCGCCGCCGGGGGCAUAGUAGUACUUUCCAUUCUCCAUAAACCUAGUGUCACUCAUCCCCUGCUUCUGAUAGUUGUACAUAUUGCCACCAUUUGUACCCAUCUCUUGCUUCCCAUAGUUGUACAUAUCGCCACCAUUAGCAAACUUUGAACCCAUCUCUUGCUUCCCAGAGUUGUACAUAUUGCCACCAUUUGUACCCAUUUCUUGAUUCCCAGAGUUGUACAUAUUGCCACCGUUUGUAUCCAUUUCUUGAUUCCCGGAGUUGUACAUAUCGCCACCACUUGCAAACUUUGCACCCAUUUCUUGCUUCUCAGAGUUGUACAUUCCGGUUUCACCGGUGACCUGGCCGUUGAAUUCGUCAGGGAAGUCUUGGGUGCUGCUGUGAAUAGGGGUGGUGUAAGCCACCGGGUUGUAGUUUUCCGGAAGGUUGGCGGGGAGGGGGAAGUUGUUGGCGGUGGC